AAUAGCCUAACGGCUGAACCAGCAACUUGAAGGAAUGUAUAGCGAAAGCUAAUUGUGCUUAACUGUUAUAUCAGUUGAUGCAAUAUUGAUUCGAUCAAAUAAAGUUCUAGGUAGAAUUAUGAUAAUGACAUUAUCUAUCUAUGUGUCUUGACCAAAUUACGUGCCAGCAGUCGCGGUAAUACGUAAAAGACUAGUGUUAUUCAUCUUGAAUAGGUUUAAAGGGUACCUAGACGGCUAAUAAAGCUUCAAAAAAGUACUAAUUAGCUAGAGUUUAAUAUAAGGAGGCAUUAAAGUACUGAGAACGUAGAGAGAUGAAAUUCUGUGAUACUAUAUAUGGCACUGGUAAAGGCGAAAGCAUCCUAUUAUGUAAUAACUGACGUUGAGGGACGAAGGCUGUGUGUAGCAAAAAGGAUUAGAUACCCAAGUAGUCUCAGCAGAAAAUGAUGAAUGUCAUAGUAUAGAUAACAUUUGUACUAUAAAUGAAAGUGUAAGCAUUCCACCUUAAGAGUAAUUUGGCAACAUUGGAACUGAAAUCAUUAGACCGUUUCUGAAACAAGUAGUGAAGUAUGUUGUUUAAUUUGAUGAUCCGCAAAGAACCUCACCACAAUUUGAAUAUAAAAAUUAUUUAUACAAGCGCUGCACGGUUGUCUUCAGUUAAUGUCGUGAGAUUUUGGUUAGCUCCAUUAAAUUAACGUAAACCCUUACUUUAUUUUGUUAUAGAGUAGUUCACCGCUAUAUUGGAUAUGAUAAUAGGGACUAAGACAAGUCAUCAUGGCCUUAAUAUUGUGGGCUAUAGACGUGCCACAUAUGCCUUUACAAAGGGAUGCAAAAUUGUGAAAUUGAGCUAAUCCCCUAAAAUUGGAUAGAAGCUUAAU
RNAcentral lists this ribosomal RNA (875 nucleotides) under Diplotomma alboatrum. Its description in RNAcentral is "SSU rRNA". It matches the Rfam family "Bacterial small subunit ribosomal RNA", at positions 370 to 1297 of the family's 1533-position model. Lineage: Eukaryota; Fungi; Ascomycota; Lecanoromycetes; Caliciales; Caliciaceae. The record is from RNAcentral.